Molecule: unclassified non-coding RNA, 496 nt
Filed under: uncultured Paraglomus
Lineage: Eukaryota; Fungi; Glomeromycota; Glomeromycetes; Paraglomerales; Paraglomeraceae
Description: SSU rRNA
Rfam family: Eukaryotic small subunit ribosomal RNA
Source: RNAcentral
CCAAUAGCGUAUAUUAAAGUUGUUGUGGUUAAAAAGCUCGUAGUUGAACCUUGGGCCUGGCUGGCCGGUCCGCCUCACCGCGUGUACUGGUCCGGCCGGGCCUUUCCCUCUGUGGAACCUCAUGCCCUUCACUGGGUGUGACGGGGAAGCAGGACUUUUACUGUGAAAAAAUUAGAGUGCUCCAAGCAGGCCUAUGCUCGAAUACAUUAGCAUGGAAUAAUAAAAUAGGACGUGCGGUUCUAUUUUGUUGGUUUCUAGGACCGCCGUAAUGAUUAAUAGGGACAGUCGGGGGCAUCAGUAUUCAAUUGUCAGAGGUGAAAUUCUUGGAUUUAUUGAAGACUAACUACUGCGAAAGCAUUUGCCAAGGAUGUUUUCAUUAAUCAGUGAACGAAAGUUAGGGGAUCGAAGACGAUCAGAUACCGUCGUAGUCUUAACCAUAAACUAUGCCGACUAGGGAUCCGUCGGCGUUAAUUUAUGACUCGACGGGCAGCUUCCG